GUUCAGAAGAAAGUGUGGAUUAAAAUACCCUCAUGGGAUUUUAUACAUGGAUCAGUAGGAUACGUAUCUGGCUUUUCUUCUUUUUUUAAACCGACUUACAGAUACAGCAAGGAAAGAGUUAUUUAUUGGACUAGGUAUUAAUGGUGUGAUAACAGAUAAGCUUGUAUUUGGAAGUGGAACCACUCUCACAGUCGAACCAAGCAAUCAGAAAGAUUCUGACCCAGAAGUCAUUCUGAUAAAAUCAAAGCCACUUGAAGAAGGUGGCAGUACUGGGAAAGCAGCUUGUUUGGCAAGGAAUUUCUAUCCAAAGAAUAUCAAUUUGGACAUGUUACCUGCUGAAGUCAUAUAUGAACAGAAUACACCUAUUGUGACAUCAGAAGGGACAUAUAAUACUAUUAAAGUGGUCAACGUGACAAAAGCCUCAGAGGUAUCCUGCACGGCCAAGUUCAAGGGCAAUUUUUUUCCAGCCAAUGCAACAUCAUCAGAAAAGGUGGUUGAAGAACCAAUAACAGCAAAUGUUUGCAACACAACAGACACCUCUUCAAAAGGUUAGUUAACUAAAGGGAUUAUAAAAAUAUGUUACUAUGUUGGGGAUAAAAGCCUGGAAAUGUAUUUUCUCAGGGACAGAGAAAUCAGAAUACCAUGUAUUCAUUGUAUUUAUUAAAUAUAACCUGCUUUUUCUGGGUAACUAUUUUAGUAACAGACAAGUUUUGUUAUAGUUACAAAGUACCAGGAGGAAAAAAAACAGUGGUCAAUGGCUCUAUGUCCAGGUGGAGGUCAGUGGCGAGCGGUGUCCCUCAGGAGUGUGUCUUGGGACUGGUGUUACUUAAUAUCUUCAUCAAUGAUAUAGA
RNAcentral lists this long non-coding RNA (851 nucleotides) under Anser brachyrhynchus (Pink-footed goose). RNAcentral describes it as "lncRNA (ENSABRG00000012073.1)". The record is from RNAcentral. Lineage: Eukaryota; Metazoa; Chordata; Aves; Anseriformes; Anatidae.